UACGUAGGUGACAAGCGUUGUCCGGAUUUACUGGGCGUAAAGAGCGCGCAGGCGGUCGUUCAAGUCGAGUGUGAAAGCCCCCGGCUCAACUGGGGAGGGUCAUUCGAUACUGAUCGACUCGAAGGCAGGAGAGGGUAGUGGAAUUCCCGGUGUAGUGGUGAAAUGCGUAGAUAUCGGAAGGAACAUCAGUGGCGAAAGCGACUUCCUGGACCAAUACUGACGCUCAUGUGCGAAAGCGUGGGGAGCAAACAGG
This 253-nucleotide ribosomal RNA is filed under the name uncultured bacterium. Its description in RNAcentral is "partial 16S ribosomal RNA". It matches the Rfam family "Bacterial small subunit ribosomal RNA", at positions 524 to 776 of the family's 1533-position model. The record is from RNAcentral.